This 429-nucleotide ribosomal RNA is filed under the name uncultured bacterium. RNAcentral describes it as "bacterial SSU rRNA". It matches the Rfam family "Bacterial small subunit ribosomal RNA", at positions 355 to 776 of the family's 1533-position model. The record is from RNAcentral.
UGGGGGAUAUUGGACAAUGGGGGGAACCCUGAUCCAGCAACGCCGCGUGAAUGAAGAAGGCCUUCGGGUUGUAAAGUUCUUUUGUCUGGGAGCAAAGCUACGAAGUUAAAAGCUAUGAAGUUUGAGAGUACCAGAAGAAUAAGCACCGGCUAACUACGUGCCAGCAGCCGCGGUAAUACGUAGGGUGCGAGCGUUAAUCGGAAUUACUGGGCGUAAAGGGUGCGUAGGCGGAAAUACAAGUUAGAUGUGAAAUACCUGAGCUUAACUGAGGAACUGCAUUUAAGACUGUAUAUCUAGAGUUAGUAAGAGGAUGGGGGAAUUCCGAGUGUAGCAGUGAAAUGCGUAGAUAUUCGGAGGAAGAUCAGUGGCGAAGGCGCCCAUCUGGUAUAUAACUGACGCUGAGGCACGAAAGCGUGGGGAGCAAACAGG